RNAcentral lists this ribosomal RNA (634 nucleotides) under uncultured bacterium. Its description in RNAcentral is "bacterial SSU rRNA". It matches the Rfam family "Bacterial small subunit ribosomal RNA", at positions 59 to 673 of the family's 1533-position model. The record is from RNAcentral.
AAGUCGAACGGGGUGCUUGGAGCUGAUCGCUUCGGCGUGAUGCACCUUGUCACCUAGUGGCGGACGGGUGAGUAACACGUAGGUAACCUGCCCUUAGGAUUGGGAUACCCCCGAGAAAUCGGGCUCAAUACCGGAUGUGAUCCCGGGGUGAAAUACCCUGAGAUAAAAGCUACGGGCAACCGUAGCGCCUAAGGAGGGGCCUGCGGCCUAUCAGCUUGUUGGUGAGGUAAAAGCUCACCAAGGCUAAGACGGGUAGCCGGACUGAGAGGUCGAUCGGCCACACUGGAACUGAGACACGGUCCAGACUCCUACGGGAGGCAGCAGUGGGGAAUUUUGCGCAAUGGGCGAAAGCCUGACGCAGCGACGCCGCGUGGGGGAAGAAGGCCUUCGGGUUGUAAACUCCUUUAGUACGGGAAGAAGCCUUCGGGUGACGGUACCGUAAGAAUAAGCCACGGCUUACUCUUUGCGAGCGCCGCGGGAAGAAGACAGAGGUGGCAAGCGUUGUUCGGAUUUACUGGGCUUAAAGGGCGUGUAGGCGUCCUGAUAAGUCAGAUGUGGAAGCCCUGGGCUCAACCCAGGAAGUGCAUUUGAAACUGUCAGGAUUGAGUCAUGCAAGGGAGGACGGAAUUCCUGG